AGUCACGGAUCAGGGCUAUCGGGUUGCCAUACGCGGUCGCGGAGACCUGCACGCUCGGGCUGCCGCUCACGAUUGCGGGGAUCAGGGCUCUCAGUUUGCCAUAUGCAGUCGCGGAGACUCAUAGCAAACGGCUACAGGGAUAGAAGACCAUUAUUCUGCCUUCCACCUGUUGGCGUGCCCCGGCCCCCGCAGGGGGCGCGGCGCACCCAUACGUUUCAGAAAGCGGCAGUUGGCAAAGAGUUGCACAACACGUGUUCCCCGCUCCUGCCGACAGCACACAGGCAUUAUUUAAGCCAUCUGUUACACGAAGCUGUUGUACACCAGGAAGAAGAGCUGUUGUACACCAGCGACGAAGUUCCGAUACCCGGCUCGAACAUGAUAGGCACAGUAACUGGACUAUAAUCAUAUUUCGCACACUUAAAUAUGUAGUAUCGAAUUCGCUGCGGAAGAAAGACAAGCAGGCCGAUAAUGGAGGCCGAUGUCAUCGCAUAGGCUGAGGCAGGGUCAAAUGAGUAACCAGAGCGGUUUAUUUCUCCAACAUCAGCACCUAUGUAAGUGUCAAAAGCCUCGCAGGUGCGCGAGCUGCGAGCGCGAGCAUCUGUCCUUAAUACUGCCGUGCUGGCAGCCCCACAACGUGAGAGCAAUAAAUCUGAGACUCUGUUAUCAGUACAUUUGCAAAACGUGUAGGGCUGAACGGUUUCGCCGCAAGGGCGAACUUGAACUUACUUCGCGACGUCCAACCGUCCGACGUCCAACGCACAGCCCCAACCCCCCAGCACCGGCACCCAGAUCAAAUAGUACUUAUAGCGGAGUCUGCAUCUCACGGUGGGGGACGGUUUGACGGGUUUCGAUCAGGGGGGGUUCGGCAGAUGGCGAGGGUGCUGGGCCGAGCUGCGGGCACGCGGGGGAAAAUGCGCGCGCGACCUCGCAGCUUGACAGGGCGUCGGCCCAGUUAAUAAUUACAUGAAUACGUAAGUACUUAGAAGCUAUGCGGGCGAACACGAGCGAUUUUGCGUCCAUUGGAUCCCAUUUCCCCAGACUCCAUUUCCCCGAUGAGGUGUUGGGCCCCGACCCCGACCCCGACCCCUCCCCGGUCACCGGUCCGGGAGGUUGUGCGCACGCCAGCAUCCGCAGUACCUUUGGUCCAACGUAUGUCACGACUCUGGCACUCUGAUCAUACUCCGACUUCAGUCGCCAUGACUACAUGCGCCUCCAGGGGCCUCCCCUGUACGCCUCCUUUCACCUCUACGCCACUAAGGGCCACUACCUGCACACGCCUCCUCUCGUGCUCAGCAUUACAACACCGUACGUUGCGUCCCCUGUCAGUUGACUCCCUUAGGGGCACGCCCCAUGGAUCGCAUGGCGGUCCGCUAGUACCGCUACGUGUUUACCGCAUAGCUAGCACAAGUAACAGUUUUACAGACUGACUGCGUAACCCUAGUUUUGCCGCUUCAUCAUCAGCCCUAAUGCCCCUGUACAAUACCCUUUCCAUACCCCCUCGCAAUUCCCAGCUAUGGCCGGGUGCGCACGGACCGGGUUAGACGGUGAGCGACCGAUGCUGCCGUACACAGCAGUGCUGUCACGCCAGCUCGUGUGACCGGACACGGCGAGGGAUAGUGCCGGGAAAGCUGCCUAACGUCAGGGUUAGGGUUGUUGCGGCUGUCGGGUUUAGGGCAGUGUCAGUGCGGAACGGGUGCCUCCCGGGCUCCGGACGGUAGAAGGCUGAGUCAUUGCUAGCCUUACUUUGUUGUGCUUUAUGAGUGUGAAGUACGUUGGAACGCAGUUUGUAGAUGCCGUUAUGACGUGGUUAUGACGCGGCUAAGGAUUUGCGUAUCCGGAUGAGGCGAUUCCCCCUUGGGGCGAUUCCCCCUUGGGGCGGUUGUUUGUGUGGUCACUAGCUCGAGACGACUUGUUCUGUCUCGAGCUCUCUGGUACGGCUUGCUGGUUAGCGAUUUCACAGACAGAACCCCGCUGCGCCUAUACACGGCCAGCGGUAAUACGCGUUUAGCUCGGAAUGUGCCUAAUUGCCAGCCUACCCCAAUUUGGCCCACUUGCCCGUGCGGCUGGCCCGCACGGAUUCAGAGCCUGCCUGAUUUAAUAUUGCAUGCUUAUAUUAUAUAAGGAUUAUCCAAGGACUGGGAGGCCAGUAAGAGGCCGAUUCCCGACCAGUCCCCGAAAACGGCCCUGCGCGCCCGCCCGAUUAUUUGGCCCACUCGCCAGAGCCCACGCCCUGGUCCUCAAAAGCCUGCCUGACCGCCCAGUUCUCUGCAUAUAUAUUAUCAUUUACAUGUAAGUGAUAGCUUAGCAAGCUUAAAUGGGUAAACUAGGGCUGGCCCUGCCGGGCUCGGUGCGGCGGGUGCCACUCCGGCAAGUGCCUGGGGACUGCAUGAUUCCAGGCCCCUAUAGCAUCGAAAUGGCAUCAUGUGACAUAUGUAAAGGUCUCUGGACGGUUUCUGGACAUAAAUUGUAGCGAAAACAGAAGUCAAAAUGUCAAAUGUCGCGCUCGCUAGGACCCAGCCAAUUCGCCUCGAAGCUAUCUAGCUUACAUCUAAGUGUGCAGAUAUAUCGACGGCAUGAAAUCCAGGAACAAAACACCGCCUAUGCGAGAUAUGGCAUGUGGAGCAGACGGACUGCAGGUUGCCUGGUCUGCGCAUUUAAUAUCUUAUGAUGUUUGUCCUUUAGUGAUUUGUGCAAGCCAGAAUGCGCCUGCAGACGACAAACAAAACAACAUGCUGAGCAUUCAAGGCGCGAUGUGCACCCAGAACACUCCCAAUCCUGCCCGGACGGUUGCAACAAUCCUCAUAUGACAUCUAUAGGGUAUCGAAAUCGGCAAAUCGCCAGCAGGGAUGACCAAAACGCCUCGCGGCCCGGUGGGCCAAUUUGGGGUCGCCCCUCAGUUUUCCCCCCAAAACCCGGCCCCCAGAAUUGACUCGCCCACCGCGCCCUUUUGACCCCCAACCCGUGCAAUAAUCUUAUAUAGUGCUUACAUCAAUAUUUAGGCAAGCGUGGGCGCCUAGGAAGCCCUGUAGCGGUCUGGGCCAAAAGUGGGCCAAAUAUGGCACAUUCCGAGCUAACCAACAAGAGGUCUUACACGAAUCGAUAUCUCGCCAACCUAAAUUAGUCUGUGCGCUCAGCAAGGGGCAGUGAGCCACGCAGCACCACAUCAGCCAGGGCACGUCAGGAAUGCGUUAUCACGCGUUAGGGCGUGACAGUGCCGCUGCUGAGCUGUGAGGGGCGCCGCAGGGUCCAGCUGCCGCACAUGCCGGCUGCGUGCCCGUGCUGGGAGCUGCCGUGGGCGGGCUGACGGGUCACGCUCGUUGCCAGCCACGGUUGCCGGCACCCUCCGGCACACGCACGCUCGUAGUCACGGAUCAGGGCUAUCGGGUUGCCAUACGCGGUCGCGGAGACCUGCACGCUCGGGCUGCCGCUCACGAUUGCGGGGAUCAGGGCUCUCAGUUUGCCAUAUGCAGUCGCGGAGACUCAUAGCAAACGGCUACAGGGAUAGAAGACCAUUAUUCUGCCUUCCACCUGUUGGCGUGCCCCGGCCCCCGCAGGGGGCGCGGCGCACCCAUACGUUUCAGAAAGCGGCAGUUGGCAAAGAGUUGCACAACACGUGUUCCCCGCUCCCGCCGAGUGCAUACAAGCAAUAUUUAAGGCCUCCGUCACACGAAGCUGUUGCACAUCAGGAAGAAGAGGCCCCAGCGACGAAGUUCAGAUACCUGGCUCGAACCCGACCGUGAAAGUGACUGAUGCUGAAACAGGUAAUACUGAUGCUGACACAUGUAAUAUACGCUUAAACGCAUAGAAUGGAGUCCGAUGCCUCAACAAAGUCAAUGUUGAGGCCGAUUGUAUCGCAAAGGCUGGUGCUGUUCGAAUUGAUUUAUGAGGUUCAUAAAUUGCUCUAAAAUAAGCACUUGUGAACCUUUCAGAAGCCUCGUAGGCGUGUCAGCUGCGAGCGCGAUCAUGUGUCCUUAAUACAGCCGCGCUGGCAGCCCCAUGUAGUGAGACCAAUAAAUCUGAGACUCGUUCAUCAU
Molecule: long non-coding RNA, 4034 nt
Filed under: Chlamydomonas reinhardtii
Lineage: Eukaryota; Viridiplantae; Chlorophyta; Chlorophyceae; Chlamydomonadales; Chlamydomonadaceae
Description: long non-coding RNA (CREI_LNC001054)
Source: RNAcentral